This 655-nucleotide ribosomal RNA is filed under the name uncultured fungus. RNAcentral's name for it is "eukaryotic LSU rRNA". The stretch from base 236 to 389 matches the Rfam family "5.8S ribosomal RNA". The record is from RNAcentral. Lineage: Eukaryota; Fungi.
CUUGGUCAUUUAGAGGAAGUAAAAGUCGUAACAAGGUUUCCGUAGGUGAACCUGCGGAAGGAUCAUUAUCGAUGGCCGCGCCGCGAGCGCCUCGGCGGGAUCGGCCGGCCACUGACCACACCCUUACUCUACGAGCACCUUUCGUUCUCCUUCGGCGGGGCGACCCGCCGCUGGAACCUCAUCACGAACCCUUUUUGCAUCUAGCAUUACCUGUUCUGAUAAAUUUAAUCGUUACAACUUUCAACAAUGGAUCUCUUGGCUCUGGCAUCGAUGAAGAACGCAGCGAAAUGCGAUAAGUAGUGUGAAUUGCAGAAUUCAGUGAAUCAUCGAAUCUUUGAACGCACCUUGCGCUCCUUGGUAUUCCGAGGAGCAUGCCUGUUUGAGUGUCAUUAAAUUCUCAACCUCACCAACUUUUUGUUGUGUGAAGGCUUGGAUUUGGAGGCGUGCAGGUCCACACUUUUAGUGGUCUGCUCCUCUGAAAUGUAUUAGUGGGUUGGGCCCUCUAAUCUAUUGGUGUGAUAAUUAUCUACGCCGUGGAUUUGGGAAGCUACAUCAGACCUGCUUCUAACCGUCCUCACGGGGGACAACACUUGACAAUUUUGACCUCAAAUCAGGUAAGACUACCCGCUGAACUUAAGCAUAUCAAUAAGCGGAG